RNAcentral lists this transfer RNA (69 nucleotides) under Ictidomys tridecemlineatus (thirteen-lined ground squirrel). RNAcentral's name for it is "Spermophilus tridecemlineatus (thirteen-lined ground squirrel) tRNA". It matches the Rfam family "tRNA". From Rfam's summary of the family: Transfer RNA (tRNA) molecules are approximately 80 nucleotides in length. The record is from Rfam by way of RNAcentral. Lineage: Eukaryota; Metazoa; Chordata; Mammalia; Rodentia; Sciuridae.
GGGUUUGUGGCUCAGUGGUAGAGUACUUGCCCAGCAAGUAUGAGGCACUGGGUUCAAUUCUCAGCACCA